AUUGAACGCUGGCGGCAGGCCUAACACAUGCAAGUCGAGCGGAUGAAGGGAGCUUGCUCCUGUAUUCAGCGGCGGACGGGUGAGUAAUGCCUAGGAAUCUGCCUUGUAGUGGGGGAUAACGUCCGGAAACGGGCGCUAAUACCGCACACGUCCUGAGGGAGAAAGUGGGGGAUCUUCGGACCUCACGCUAUCAGAUGAGCCUAGGUCGGAUUAGCUAGUUGGUUGGGUAAAGGCCUACCAAGGCGACGAUCCGUAACUGGUCUGAGAGGGUGAUCUGUCACACUGGAACUGAGACACGGUCCAGACUCCUACGGGAGGCAGCAGUGGGGAAUCUUGGACAAUGGGCGAAAGCCUGAUCCAGCCAUGCCGCGUGUGUGAAGAAGGUCUUCGGAUUGUAAAGCACUUUAAGUUGGGAGGAAGGGCAGUAAGUUAAUACCUUGCUGUUUUGACGUUACCAACAGAAUAAGCACCGGCUAACUUCGUG
Molecule: ribosomal RNA, 484 nt
Filed under: uncultured bacterium
Lineage: Bacteria
Description: partial 16S ribosomal RNA
Rfam family: Bacterial small subunit ribosomal RNA
Source: RNAcentral